UGCGCAGGCGGGCAUUUAAGUCAGUGGUGAAAUACUGCCGCUUAACGGUAGAACUGCCAUUGAUACUGAAUGUCUUGAGUAUGGUUGAGGUAGGCGGAAUGUGUAGUGUAGCGGUGAAAUGCAUAGAUAUUACACGGAACUCCGAUUGCGAAGGCAGCUUACUAAGCCAUAACUGACGCUGAGGCACGAAAGCGUGGGGAGCGAACAGGAUUAGAUACCCUGGUAGUCC
This 229-nucleotide ribosomal RNA is filed under the name uncultured bacterium. Its description in RNAcentral is "partial 16S ribosomal RNA". It matches the Rfam family "Bacterial small subunit ribosomal RNA", at positions 568 to 796 of the family's 1533-position model. The record is from RNAcentral.